GGCCAAAAUGUGGUUAGCUCAGCUGGUUAGAGCAUGGUGCUAAUAAUGCCAAGGUCAUGGGUUCAAGCCCCAUUUUGGCCA
Molecule: non-coding RNA, 81 nt
Organism: Rhincodon typus (whale shark)
Lineage: Eukaryota; Metazoa; Chordata; Chondrichthyes; Orectolobiformes; Rhincodontidae
Source: the annotation of a RefSeq genome assembly